RNAcentral lists this long non-coding RNA (409 nucleotides) under Fragaria vesca (wild strawberry). RNAcentral describes it as "long non-coding RNA (FVES_LNC004981)". The record is from RNAcentral. Lineage: Eukaryota; Viridiplantae; Streptophyta; Magnoliopsida; Rosales; Rosaceae.
UGAUUCCGGGGCUGUGGGGAAAAAAGCAGAUUUGAGUGGUGAGUCGUUCAUGUCGAUGUCGGACUUGUCUUCCUCACAGUCAAUCUCGGAUUCGGAUGAAGAUGAAGAUUCGGAAUGGAUCCGAAAGGGAGAAGGAGGAUCUUGCUCUUCAAAUUCCAAAGGUCCAACCGUGCUACUUGAUACUUCUUUUGCUUCUUUCUUUGUUCUUUAUAAGCACGGUCAAUCUCUGGAUUUAAUGGAACAAGAGCUCCUUGUGAAGACGAACGAGUGUGUCGAGGUUGCAUGCACGUCUAGCACCUGAAAAACCAAUCGGCCAAGAUCAAGUUAGAAUGCAUGAGUAUAAAACGAAAUCAAAGGCAAUAAACUAGAUUAAGCUAAGAAAAACAAAACAAAGGAAAACAAAAGAAAU